Molecule: ribosomal RNA, 449 nt
Filed under: uncultured bacterium
Lineage: Bacteria
Description: bacterial SSU rRNA
Rfam family: Bacterial small subunit ribosomal RNA
Source: RNAcentral
GCCCAGACUCCUACGGGAGGCAGCAGUGGGGAAUAUUGCACAAUGGGGGGAACCCUGAUGCAGCGACGCCGCGUGGGUGAAGGAGUAUUUCGGUAUGUAAAGCCCUAUCAGCAGGGAAGAACAAUGACGGUACCUGACUAAGAAGCACCGGCUAAAUACGUGCCAGCAGCCGCGGUAAUACGUAUGGUGCAAGCGUUAUCCGGAUUUACUGGGUGUAAAGGGGGCGCAGACGGCAGCGCAAGCCAGGAGUGAAAGCCCGGGGCCCAACCCCGGGACUGCUCUUGGAACUGCGCGGCUGGAGUGCAGGAGGGGCAGGCGGAAUUCCUGGUGUAGCGGUGAAAUGCGUAGAUAUCAGGAGGAACACCGGUGGCGAAGGCGGCCUGCUGGACUGCGACUGACGUUGAGGCCCGAAAGCGUGGGGAGCGAACAGGAUUAGAUACCCCGGUAAA